CGAAUUCACAAAGGAGGUUUAGAUUUAACCCAGGCUAAAUCGCGUCAUAAUACGUCAUAACCCCGAGCUUUAGACCAUGGGUCAUUAUUUUGGUAUUCACAAAGGAAGUUUAGAUUUAACCCAGGCUAAAUCGCGUCAUAUUACGUCAUAAUUUUAGCCUGCUCAGAAGGGUGGUUUAAACAGCGGGCUAAAUCUAACCCACGGUUUAACCCACGGUUUAACGCGUCAUAUGACGUCAUACCAUCGAGCUUUGGCUUUUUAGCGCAGACGAUCGUACAAAUUUUGUUGACAAAUUUGUGGUGAAACAAAGUGAAGAGACCUUCACAAAGUUGCUGUUUUUUCAACUUUGAUAGCCUACAUUAGACAGCAUGGCUGAAUAUAUUCACCAUCUCCGCCAGCUUGAUCGGAACAGAGAGUUGAUAGGCAGACCUCAGAGAGGCCUUCGUGACCCAUGAACCCUUUUGAAGUGUAUGAUGAUGAGUCAUUUCGGACCAGGUACUGGUUUUCCAAAGAGACAGCGCUCUACCUCAUCAACUUGGUGGAUGAAGAGCUGAGGAGGACGACAGACAGAAACGACCCAAUACCUAUACAGGUAGUGACAGCACUUCGAUCCUAUGCUGUUGGGUCAUUCCAAAAGAUGCAUGGUGAUGAGGCACAACUUUCACAGUCUUCUGUAUGCAGAGUCAUCAAAGACGUGUCAGAAGCGUUUGCAA
RNAcentral lists this long non-coding RNA (713 nucleotides) under Strongylocentrotus purpuratus (purple sea urchin). RNAcentral describes it as "uncharacterized LOC115926010, transcript variant X2". The record is from RNAcentral. Lineage: Eukaryota; Metazoa; Echinodermata; Echinoidea; Camarodonta; Strongylocentrotidae.